This is a small nuclear RNA of Camelus dromedarius (Arabian camel), 108 nucleotides long. NCBI's taxonomy places the organism in Eukaryota, Metazoa, Chordata, Mammalia, Artiodactyla, Camelidae. The record is from Ensembl.
GUGUUCACUUCAGCAGCACAUAUACUAAAAUUGGAAUAAUACAGAGAAGAUUAGCAUGGUCCCAUCACAAGAAUUACCAUGGCCAUGCUAAUUCCACAACAGAAAACU